Gymnodraco acuticeps is the source of this 301-nucleotide long non-coding RNA. RefSeq lists it as uncharacterized. NCBI's taxonomy places the organism in Eukaryota, Metazoa, Chordata, Actinopteri, Perciformes, Bathydraconidae. The transcript has 3 exons. The record is from RefSeq and is a predicted model, not a curated record.
GUUGAUUCCUGGUUUGAUGUGCGGUUAACUAAAUAUUUUAGAUUCCUCACCAAGACCCUCAUCAGCUCCAACGAAGUGCAGCAUGCUUCAUGUCUUGCCUUCCAAAAACUGGUCUCUGUAAUGGGAAAUAACUUCACAUACAACAACUCUGAGUUUGGGCAGGCUGAGAUAUACACCACAAUCAGCACCUAUCUGGGAAAUGGCUCUGAAGCCAGAUGCUACAACGACAAUGAUGCAGAACUGAAUUCUACCGCGUGGUUUGCCAAUAACAUUGGCAACUUUAUGACGUUUGCCACUGUUG